AUUGAACGCUGGCGGCAUGCUUUACACAUGCAAGUCGAACGGUAACAGGCCUUCGGGUGCUGACGAGUGGCGAACGGGUGAGUAAUGCAUCGGAACGUACCCAGAGGUGGGGGAUAACGCAGCGAAAGCUGUGCUAAUACCGCAUGUGAUCUGAGGAUGAAAGCGGGGGACCGAGCAGCAAUGUUUGGCCUCGCGCCUUUGGAGCGGCCGAUGUCGGAUUAGCUAGUUGGUGGGGUAAAGGCCUACCAAGGCGACGAUCCGUAGCUGGUCUGAGAGGACGACCAGCCACACUGGGACUGAGACACGGCCCAGACUCCUACGGGAGGCAGCAGUGGGGAAUUUUGGACAAUGGGCGCAAGCCUGAUCCAGCAAUGCCGCGUGCGGGAAGACGGCCUUCGGGUUGUAAACCGCUUUUGGCAGGAACGAAACGGUGUCCGCUAAUACCGGGCGCUAAUGACGGUACCUGCAGAAUAAGCACCGGCUAACUACGUG
This 492-nucleotide ribosomal RNA is filed under the name uncultured bacterium. RNAcentral describes it as "partial 16S ribosomal RNA". It matches the Rfam family "Bacterial small subunit ribosomal RNA", at positions 29 to 507 of the family's 1533-position model. The record is from RNAcentral.